CCCAAAUGAAUGAGAAAUCAAGAAUUCCAUAAAUUUUUUUCAGAAUUUCUUCAUUACAAAGCACGUUUAACAUGGUAUCAGAGCAAAUCUCAAUUUUUUCUCUUCGUACUCAUAUUCUGUUUUCCGCAUUCUGAACUUGUACAGUUAGCUCCAUGGCAAUGAAUCCAGACUCAAUCACCGUCUUCACCACAGCUCCCCAGCCAAUAAUUCCUGCAUCACAAAUCGUUGUUCAGCAAGAUAAUUCUGCCUUCGCAACUGGGGUUAUAUUGGAUGAGAAUAACUACCCAUUAUUGUCUCAACUCAUGGAGAUGUAGAUUGGUGCUCGUAACAAGGAUGGGUAUCUCACCGGAAAGAUAGUGAAACCUUCACCUGGAGAUCCACAGCUGGAGAUUUGGAUUACUGAAAACCAUAGAGUCAAGAGCUACUUUAUUAAUGCAAUGAGUCCAUCAUUGAUGCAGUGAUUUAUUCGCCUUUCCAUAGCAAAGGAAAUAUGGAGGCAGUGGCUCGAACAUUCUAUGACAGAUCAGAUGAAACCUGCCUUUUUGAAUUGCACCAGAGAUCUUUUUCUACCAAGCAAAUUGGCCCCCCACUCUCAACAUAUUAUAAUGAACUUGUUGCUAUUUUUCAGGAUAUUGAUCAUGGAACUACUUCUCAAGAGGGAACCGUUGAAGGAAUUGUUCUAUUGCACUUAGCUAUGGCUAGACUUCGAGUUUAUAUCUUUCUCAGUAGACUCGACUCUGAAUAGACACAGGUGCGUGGAGAAAUCUUGCAGAAGGAUUCAAAACUUGAUCUUGAGAGUGCUUAUGCCUAUGUUCGGAGGGAAUUUCAGAAUCGCAAAGGAUUUCCAGGGGGUCCGUCAAAGAAUAACUUCAGACAACCUUCUAAAGGGCCGGUAUGUACACAUUGUGGUGAAACUGGCCAUUCAAAUCAAAAGUGCUAUGAGAACAUAGGCUAUCCUGAAUGGUGAGAUUUUACAAACAAACCUUAGAAAAAUACUGCUAGGAAAGCUAUGAUAUCAUCCACGGCAGAGGAAUCGAUAUAGCCCAUGGCAAAUACGAUUGUUUUCCGCCUAAGUAUGCUAAGUAAUGCCUGCCAUGACACUUAUGAGAAUAGUAUGUGGAUUAUUGAUAUAGGUGCAUCUAAUCACAUGACAAGAGACCCUAGUAAAUUAAAAUAUUUUAUCCUUUCAUCUCAGUCACGUAUUUCUACAGCCAACGGGAGUACCUCUCCUAUUAGUGGGAGGGAUCUGUCAUUUUAUUUGAUCCUCUUAAAAUGGAUACUGUACUAGUAGUUCCUUCUCUUGAAUAUAAUCUCAAUAAAGCUACUUAAACAGACUAAAAUCCAGGGUUGAAAACAGGUAUUUAAAAUUUCCAACGUGGCAUCCUUUUGGAGGGAGGAAACGUAAGGUAAUGUGCACAUUGGAGGGAAAUUAAGUGGAGCACAUUUUUCCCCUAUUAUUCACUGAAGUAGACCCCAUUUUCCCACCUCUUUCAUCUUCAUGAUCCUUCGCUCUCAGAAAACUCCGGGAAAGUAUACAAAAAAAUUCAAACUAUCAUUCAAACUUUCACGAACGGCAGAAAAAUUACAGGACCCUGUUUUGGUAAUUUUUCUUCUUCAUUUCAGCUUAUGUGUAUUGUGGUAAUUCCUGUAUUUUGGUAAUUUUUCUUCCUCUGUGUUCAAAUUGUUGAUUACUCCAUUUUGAUCUUCUAAAAAAUCACAGUCUUGGUUGAUUUCAGUCGUAGUUGGAAGUUCAAAGUUUUCUUAGAAAGAAUUGUGUGGCUUUGUUGGCAUUACAUUUUUUAAACUAAUGAUUUGAUGCGUAAUUCUCUCGUAAAUGUGUGAUUUUAAUCUUUGUUUAUCUAUAAUGUUGGACUUGGCAAAACUUGAUGACAGCAUACUGCCCUUAUUGGUAAUGAAUGUCGAAUGUCGAAUGUCCAAUGCUUCCACUGUGAAGAAUUUAGUCUGCAAUAGAAUUUCUAAUAAUUCUACAGCUGAGCCACUUUUGUUCAUUUACCAAUUCUUCUUAAUUUACAUUUCUAUGUAUUUUGGUUAUCUUCUUCAUUUACCUUACUUUUCACUGAGGAAACUUUAACAAUUUCAUACGGUUUUUUGUUUGUAGGUCAGGCAUUGCCGUUCUACUAUGAAAACUUAUUUGAUGAAGGUAGCAGAGGCAAGCGUGUGAUGUUAGGAUUGUUGUUAUAGUCAUUUCAUCUACUGUUAGAAUUUAUCUAGCUAUGGCAUAUGUUACACUUUAUAAGUUCGUUUGUAAUCUUUAUUUGUUCGUGUUGCUUUACGUCUCCUAUGUGAUGGUUUGUAAUCUUUAUUUCAUCCCUCGAAUGUUUGGUUUUUAACCAAAUGUAUAAAUUGUUCCCUG
Molecule: long non-coding RNA, 2374 nt
Filed under: Olea europaea subsp. europaea
Lineage: Eukaryota; Viridiplantae; Streptophyta; Magnoliopsida; Lamiales; Oleaceae
Source: RNAcentral